Molecule: long non-coding RNA, 265 nt
Organism: Cyprinus carpio (common carp)
Lineage: Eukaryota; Metazoa; Chordata; Actinopteri; Cypriniformes; Cyprinidae
Exons: 3
Source: RefSeq, a predicted model, not a curated record
CUCUGCUGCUUCCUCAAACCCUACGGGUUGGGCUGGAUCAGAAUGGGAGGUUAAAAGGGCAAAUAGCAUCAUGGGAGCCAAACAAAUGAAAUGCCUCAGUUCAUCCAGUCCAGCACACACACCCAAGGAAGAGUACAUUAUUGCCAAAUCUGAAGAUUCAGGAGAGCUAGUGUGCAACCACACAGAGCAACCACAAAGCCUAGAGGAUGUAGUGAAAUCCUCAGCCACAGAGCCGUCUCCUGGCCCAGAGCAUGCUGGGAAAGAG